UGGGCGGCGUGCCUAAUACAUGCAAGUCGAGCGGACAGAUGGGAGCUUGCUCCCUGAUGUUAGCGGCGGACGGGUGAGUAACACGUGGGUAACCUGCCUGUAAGACUGGGAUAACUCCGGGAAACCGGGGCUAAUACCGGAUGGUUGUUUGAACCGCAUGGUUCAAACAUAAAAGGUGGCUUCGGCUACCACUUACAGAUGGACCCGCGGCGCAUUAGCUAGUUGGUGAGGUAACGGCUCACCAAGGCAACGAUGCGUAGCCGACCUGAGAGGGUGAUCGGCCACACUGGGACUGAGACACGGCCCAGACUCCUACGGGAGGCAGCAGUAGGGAAUCUUCCGCAAUGGACGAAAGUCUGACGGAGCAACGCCGCGUGAGUGAUGAAGGUUUUCGGAUCGUAAAGCUCUGUUGUUAGGGAAGAACAAGUACCGUUCGAAUAGGGCGGUACCUUGACGGUACCUAACCAGAAAGCCACGGCUAACUACGUGCCAGCAGCCGCGGUAAUACGUAGGUGGCAAGCGUUGUCCGGAAUUAUUGGGCGUAAAGGGCUCGCAGGCGGUUUCUUAAGUCUGAUGUGAAAGCCCCCGGCUCAACCGGGGAGGGUCAUUGGAAACUGGGGAACUUGAGUGCAGAAGAGGAGAGUGGAAUUCCACGUGUAGCGGUGAAAUGCGUAGAGAUGUGGAGGAACACCAGUGGCGAAAGCGACUCUCUGGUCUGUAACUGACGCUGAGGAGCGAAGCGUGUGGAGCGAAAGCGUGGGGAGCGAACAGGAUUAGAUACCCUGGUAGUCCACGCCGUAAACGAUGAGUGCUAAGUGUUAGGGGGUUUCCGCCCCUUAGUGCUGCAGCUAACGCAUUAAGCACUCCG
RNAcentral lists this ribosomal RNA (868 nucleotides) under Bacillus tequilensis. RNAcentral describes it as "bacterial SSU rRNA". It matches the Rfam family "Bacterial small subunit ribosomal RNA", at positions 37 to 871 of the family's 1533-position model. The record is from RNAcentral. Lineage: Bacteria; Bacillati; Bacillota; Bacilli; Caryophanales; Bacillaceae.